Molecule: signal recognition particle RNA, 298 nt
Filed under: Aotus nancymaae (Ma's night monkey)
Lineage: Eukaryota; Metazoa; Chordata; Mammalia; Primates; Aotidae
Description: Metazoan signal recognition particle RNA (ENSANAG00000007735.1)
Rfam family: Metazoan signal recognition particle RNA
About the family: The signal recognition particle (SRP) is a universally conserved ribonucleoprotein.
Source: RNAcentral
ACCAGGCGCGAUGGCGCAUGCCUGUAGACCCAGGUUCUCGGGAGGCUGAGGCUGGAGGACCACUUGAGUUCAGGAGUUCUGGGCUGCUGUGCGCUAUGCCGAUCAGGUGUCCACACUAAGUUUGGCAUCAAUAUGGUGACCUCCUGGGAGCGAGGGACCACCAGGUUGCCUAAGGAGGGGUGAACCAGCCCAGGCUGGAAACAGAGCAGGUCAAAACUCCCCUGUUGACAGUAGUGAGAUCACACCUGUGAAUAGCCACUGCACUCCAGCCUGGGCAACAUAGCGAGAUCCCAUCUCU